GACGAACGCUGGCGGCGUGCUUAACACAUGCAAGUCGAACGGAAAGGCCCUGCUUUUGUGGGGUGCUCGAGUGGCGAACGGGUGAGUAACACGUGAGUAACCUGCCCUUGACUUUGGGAUAACUUCAGGAAACUGGGGCUAAUACCGGAUAGGAGCUCCUGCUGCACGGUGUGGGUUGGAGAGUUUCGGCGGUUGGGGAUGGAAUCGCGGCUUAUCAGCUUGUUGGUGGGGUAGUGGAUUACCAAGGCUUUGACGGGUAGCCGGCCUGAGAGGGUGACCGGCCACAUUGGGACUGGGAAACGGCCCGGAGUCCUACGGGAGGCAGCAGUGGGGAAUAUUGCACAAUGGGCGGAAGCCUGAUGCAGCAACGCCGCGUGCUGGAUGACGGCCUUCGGGUUGUAAACCGCUUUCGCCUGUGACGAAGCGUGAGUGACGGUAAUGGGUAAAGAAGCACCGGCUAACUACGUG
RNAcentral lists this ribosomal RNA (468 nucleotides) under uncultured bacterium. RNAcentral describes it as "partial 16S ribosomal RNA". It matches the Rfam family "Bacterial small subunit ribosomal RNA", at positions 28 to 507 of the family's 1533-position model. The record is from RNAcentral.